AGUGAACGCUGGCGGUAGGCCUAACACAUGCAAGUCGAACGGCAGCACAGAGGAGCUUGCUCCUUGGGUGGCGAGUGGCGGACGGGUGAGGAAUACAUCGGAAUCUACUCUGUCGUGGGGGAUAACGUAGGGAAACUUACGCUAAUACCGCAUACGACCUACGGGUGAAAGCAGGGGAUCUUCGGACCUUGCGCGAUUGAAUGAGCCGAUGUCGGAUUAGCUAGUUGGCGGGGUAAAGGCCCACCAAGGCGACGAUCCGUAGCUGGUCUGAGAGGAUGAUCAGCCACACUGGAACUGAGACACGGUCCAGACUCCGACGGGAGGCAGCAGUGGGGAAUAUUGGACAAUGGGCGCAAGCCUGAUCCAGCCAUACCGCGUGGGUGGAGAAGGCCUUCGGGUUGUAAAGCCCUUUUGUUGGGAAAGAAAUCCAUCUGGUUAAUACCCGGGUGGGAUGACGGUACCCAAAGAAUAAGCACCGGCUAACUUCGUGCCAGCAGCCGCGGUAA
Molecule: ribosomal RNA, 506 nt
Filed under: uncultured bacterium
Lineage: Bacteria
Description: partial 16S ribosomal RNA
Rfam family: Bacterial small subunit ribosomal RNA
Source: RNAcentral